CCUACGGGUGGCUGCAGUCGAGAAUCAUUCACAAUGGGGGAAACCCUGAUGGUGCGACGCCGCGUGGGGGAAUGAAGGUCUUCGGAUUGUAAACCCCUGUCAUGUGGGAGCAAAUUAAAAAGAUAGUACCACAAGAGGAAGAGACGGCUAACUCUGUGCCAGCAGCCGCGGUAAUACAGAGGUCUCAAGCGUUGUUCGGAAUCACUGGGCGUAAAGCGUGCGGAGGCUGUUUCGUAAGUCGUGUGUGAAAGGCGCGGGCUCAACCCGCGGACGGCACAUGAUACUGCGAGACUAGAGUAAAGGACGGGGAGCCGGAAUUCGCGGGGUAGCAGUGAAAUGCGUAGAUAUCGAGAGGAACACUCAGGGCGAAGGCAGGUUCCUGGGGAUUGACUGACGCUGAGGCACGAAGGCCAGGGGAGCGAAAGGGAUUAGAUACCCCAGUAGUC
Molecule: ribosomal RNA, 446 nt
Filed under: uncultured bacterium
Lineage: Bacteria
Description: partial 16S ribosomal RNA
Rfam family: Bacterial small subunit ribosomal RNA
Source: RNAcentral